GGUCAGAACGAACGCUGGCGGCAUGGAUUAGGCAUGCAAGUCGAACGCUCACCGCAAGGUGGGAGUGGCGGAAGGGUGAGGAACACGUGAGUAAUCUACCUCCAAGUUGGGAAUAACAGUUGGAAACGACUGCUAAUACCGAAUGUGGCUGUUGGACCGCAUGGUUUGACGGCUAAAGAUUUAUCGCUUGGAGAUGAGCUCGCGUCCCAUUAGCUAGUUGGUGAGGUAACGGCUCACCAAGGCGACGAUGGGUAGCUGGUCUGAGAGGAUGGUCAGCCACACUGGGACUGAGACACUGCCCAGACUCCUACGGGAGGCUGCAGUCGAGAAUCUUGGGCAAUGCGCGAAAGCGUGAACCCCAGCAAUGCCGCGUGCGGGAUGAAGGUCUUCGGAUUGUAAACCGCUGUCACUCGGGACGAACAAAAUGACGGUACCGAGGGAGGAAGCCACGGCUAACUACGUGCCAGCCGCCGC
RNAcentral lists this ribosomal RNA (474 nucleotides) under uncultured bacterium. RNAcentral's name for it is "bacterial SSU rRNA". It matches the Rfam family "Bacterial small subunit ribosomal RNA", at positions 22 to 518 of the family's 1533-position model. The record is from RNAcentral.